GCUGAAUGGCCAGGAGUGGAACAUAAUUGGCAGCGGACAUGUCCAGACCACUGCCCCUGAUUUGGCCGGAAAUCUGCAGCAGAGGUGCGCCUGUUCUGCCACUGAUUUUGCCUCCAAUCUGCAGCGGAGUGACCUCUGUUUGGGGCCUGAAAUCGGUUGGUGUUUGAGCGCCAAUUACCUCUAGAACGUCCCCUGUUUCGGCUGUGAUUAGUCAUGGCAUAAUAAGCAGAAUUCGGAGGUGUUGGCAGCAAUGGUGGCUGCUGCGGCAGAGAAGAAGAAGACAGCAAUGAUGAAGAGGAUGAACCGACAGCCAUGGAGUGAAAGGAAUUCUUAUGCAGAAACUCAUGGGUAAGGAGAUGGCUAUGAAGAUCAACAUACGAUAGCGGUUCAGCCUUGGUUAUGAGACUAGUUACCAAGUCUUUGAACUCACCGCGAAGUCCACGAAACACAUAGAGAUUGAAAUCUUCAAGGGACAUUGGGCGACCAGCAGCAGCCAAUUCGUCAAAUAACAAUUUGGCUUGCUGCAUAUACAUACUAACCGAUGCAUCACCUUGUCGAAGGUCUUGAAAGGAGCCAUGUAGUUGCAUGAUCCAGGAAUUAGAUGGAGAGGCAAGUGCCUUCUCAAGCGUGCACCAAACACAAUCUGAAGUAGAACAAUCUACUACAAGAUGCAGCACAUCCACGGAAAGAAAGGAGAGUAGAGCACUCAAAAUAAGUUGAUCUUGUUGCUUCCAACGAAGAAAAGAGGGGCUGAUGGCAGAAGAAGAACCAGCCAAAGCAUCAAUCAUAUGAGAUGGAGGACACGGCAAGGAGCCGUCAACAAAGUGAAAAACACCUUGACCAAAGAGAUAUGGCUUCAUCUGCAUUCUCCAAUAAAGAUAGUUUGUGUUCAUAAGUUUUGUCGCACCCCAAAAAAAUAAUUCUAAAUUUCAAUUUGCGGGUUCGACUGGUGAAAAUUCUUAUUUUUUUUGUUCUUUGGAGUCGCCACCUAGUAUUUUGGUCACUAGGAACCUAACUGGUCUCAGAGAUCGGGUACGGAGACUGGUUGCGUAAAGGGAAGGUAUUAGCACCCCAAAUACGCCCUACCUAAGGUAAGCUGCAUUGUUUUAUUGUCUGAUAAAAAAAAAACUAAAGUGUUGUUGUGUUUUCCUAGUCGUUGAUCUGUAUGGUUCAAGAAAAAUCCUCCUCAGUAAGAGGUCUUUUAUCUUAUCGGGUAAAAAUCCUAACCGUUCUAACGUCCAUACCAAAAUUUUAUUAAUAAUACUUAGGAAUACGUUUUACGUAUAAAUUCGUAAUCCCAAAUACUAAAAUAAAACAAAAAGAUUUUUUAGAAUUUUUGAAAUAUUGGCCUAGUUCUCAUGGCUUGAAUAAACUGGUUAUUAAAGCCAAAAUGCAUGUUAAUACAUAUAUUGUUUUGAAAAUUUUCUUUGUUGUGUGAAAAUAUGAUGUUAUAAUAUUUAUGUAUAUAUAUUGGAGAGACUAGGCCGUAUUUUAAAACAAAAAUAAUUUUUAGAAAAUAUUAUUUUUUUUAUGCUUUGACGAAAAUCGGGUAUUUUAAUACUGAGCUUGUAUCCUUACGGUAUAAAAAUACAACCCAAUAUUAAUCCGCUUUUAAAAAAUAUGCAGAAAAAUCAAUAACAUUUUUUAGGGAAUUUUUAGAAAUUUUUUGAAAGCAAAAACAUUUUUUAUUCUGAAAAUCUUUGAUGUUUUGACGAAAACCGGGUAUUUUAAUACUGGUUUUAUAUCUUUACGGUAUAAAAAUACAAACCAAAAUUAAACCAUUUUGAUAAAAAUAUGCAGAAAAAUCAACAACAUUUUUAGGGACUUUUUAGAAUUUUUUUGAAAGCAAAAACAUUUUUUAUUCUGAAAAUCUUUGAUGUUUUGACGAAAACCGGGUAUUUAUAACACUGGUUUUGUAUCUUUACAAUAUAAAAAUACAAACCAAAAUUAAAACAUUUUUGACAAAAAUAUGCAGAAAAAUCAACAAUAUUUUUUAAGAUUUUUUCAAAAUAUUUAUUUUUUUUAUUAUUAUAUUUUAUAUAUAUACAUAUAUACACACAUAUAAUAUAAUAUAUAAUAUAAAAAUAAAAUAAUUCGGGCUGGGCCGGCCCAAAUAUCUGGGCCGGACUUGGCCCAGAGAGCUGGUAUGGGCCAGACCUGGUCUGGCCCGUCAGAUACAAGGCCGGGCCAGACUUAGUCUGGCCCAAAAAAAGAAAAAGAAAAAAAAUGUGCUGGGCCAGGAUCCACCUGGCCCAGCUACACAUCAACAGAGGGGGGGAAUUAAUUCCCCCUCCUCCCUGCAUGCAGAAUGUUCAUUCUGCAUGCAGGGAAAAAAAAUGAAAAAACUAACGAGAGGGGGGAGAAGAGGUGACCUGGCGUGGAGGAGGCGGUGCUGCGGUGGCGUGGCUUCCCGGGCGGCGCUGCGGCUCCUUCUCUCUUCGGUGUUCGGUUCUCUCUCUCUCUUCGGCCUCCUCUCUCUCUCCUCCCUUCGGGUUUUUUUUUUUUUUCUUUUCGUCUUUCUUCCCUAUUUAUAGGGGCAGAACCGUGGGGGACCAUCGUUAGUGCGGUGCAACGGCUGGUCGGCCAAUGCUAAAGGUGGUGGGGGCGAGGAGAGAGAGAGGCGCGGGAAGAUUUUCGAAUUUUUUCGUUUUCUGUUCUGUUAAAACGGGGGGAAGGAGGAAGAUGAACAGUGUCGUUCAAAACGACACCGUUCUGUUUUUUUUUUUUUUUUUUUUUUUUUAAUGAAACGGCGUCGUUUUGGGUAAAACGCGCCGUUUCAUUUAAAUGGCUAAACUUCAAAUCAGUCCCCAAAUUCGGUCCCCGCCCCUCUUGUUGGCCGCCUUUUUCACUUUGGUCCUUGGCCUCUGAUUUAUGCAAUUGAGCCCCUAAUUGAUCAAUAAACUUCCAAUUUCUUCAAUUAAGCCCCUGAAACAAAUCCAAACAGCCCCCUCUAUCUUUGCGCCUUCUCCAAAUUGGUCCCUGGUUUCGGAUUUUCACAAUUAAGUCCCUAAUUGGCCCUUAAACUUCAAUAUUUAUGCAAUUGAGCCCCUGAUUUGACCCAAUAAAUUCCUAAAAAAUAUAUUUUGGCCCCAGAACUUAAAUUUCUCAAAUUAAAGCCCAAAUUGACUUAAAAAUCAAUUUUUCUUGCAAUCAAAUCUUCUAUAAAUUCAAAUAAAAAUCCAAUUAAGUCCAUAAAAAUCCAAUUAAGUCCAUAAACAUCCAAAUUUGGGCUUUUCUCCUCAAAAUUCAAAUUUUCCUUCUCAAUAGGGCUUUCAUCCUUCAAGAAUAUACUGUCAAAAAUUUAAUCCUUGUAUUUUUGAAUUUCUUGACCAAUUUUCUGACUGUUUCCUGAGCGCUUCUGCCUUCUGUUAUUUUUUCUAAACUCUUUUGGCUAUUUAUUUUAUUUUUUCAUGGGGACCCAAAAUGGGUUACAACAAGUUUCAACGAACACAACAUGGUGGGUGUUGAUAGAGGAACCAUUGUUGUAGAUUGUGUUCCCAUGAGAGGCAAAGGAAUGGCAGAGUCAUGAGAAGAAAAAUCAGAAUUCGGAGGUGUUGGAAGUUGUUCUCGGCCAGCAGCAAGAAGAGGGUUGGCCGGUGAUGAUGCAGCACCGGUGGAGGGAGAGACGGCAACGGCGGCAGCAAGAGAGUCCAUGGGGGAGAAAAUUAGGGUUGGCUACAAAGAGAGAGAGAAAAAAUUAGGAGGCUUUGAUACCAAGUUGAGAAUAAUUAAGAAGCUUGACCUAAUAGGUUAGCCAACCCUUUCUAUAUAUAUGAGUAGGGCAAUAUACAAUAGUAAAGGUGGAGAUUACCACAUAAGAAUAUGACUACAAUAUUUCCUAUAUAAUAUAUUCUAUAAUAAUAACAUACACAUCUGCACGCACAAAUCUGUACCAAGGUCAUGUUUAAAUCUUGUGGUUACAAAAGCAUAAAAUUGAUGCAAAGAAACCACCGAAUAUUAGAAAAUGUGACAAAAGUAUACAGAUGAUAUGCUAUAAAUACAAAAUUUCCUUUGUAUGUGAUGCAUGGAGUUUCAUUUAUUUCACUUGGAGAGGUCUUGGUGAGUUACUAGGCACUGCAAAUGAUUAGGCUACACCAUCACGAAAGAAGAAUUCAAUGGCGGAAAUAAGGGAGAUGAUAUUUGGAAUUGCAGCCAUGCAGCCAAUUCACAUAGAACCUGAGUCAGUGAAGCCACCAAAACGUAGGAACGUGAAGAUAUCGAAAGAUCCACAAAGUGUUGCUGCACGCCUUAGAAGAGAAAGAAUAAGUGAGAGAAUAAGGAUACUUCAAAGACUAGUCCCCGGAGGGACUAAAAUGGACACUGCCUCUAUGUUAGAUGAGGCAAUUCAUUAUGUUAAGUUCUUGAAGACCCAAGUGCAGUCACUUGAGAGAGCUCAAGCUAAUAGGCCAACAGCAACAACUGGGAUUGGAUUUCCUGUGGCAAUGACUGCUUGUUUCAUGACCUUUUGUUUGAAACUUGUAUAUGUCUCUACUUGCUCGUGCUAGGAUUAGAUUUAGUAAAAAAAACUAAAAUUGAUGAGAGAGUCGGGAACUAAGGUAGAGCUAAGUUGACAGAAGCUAAAAUUAAUGGGAGAGUCGGGACAAAACAAGCAAUUGACCAGCCAAAUGAGUAAAUUUAAGAAAAACAAAACAUUGAAAGAUGUUGUUGGAUGUUUUGGGGGGGGGGGGGGGGGGUUGUUCGAGAAGAAGACACUCGAGAUCUAAACAUUUUAGACUAGUAUUCUAUGCAAUUCCACACCUUCGUCCCACUUGAUAGGUGCCAUGAACAUUGGUGUUCCCAAACAUUUAAUCAUGGGAACUUUUGUCCCAAUUCUUUUUCUAGAAACAGAAUAGAGACACCCAAGGAAAUUAAUUGACUGGUGCACUCCAUUCUUUCUUCUUCUUCUUCUUGCAUUGAAAAAAAAAACUCCAUCUCGUAGGAUAGCACGAGAAAUCAAAUUAUUAAUUUAGUAUUUUAUUAAAAACCACAAUCACACUUGCAACACGCAAAAUAAAAGAGCAUAUUUGUUUGAACAUUUGAUUUGAAUGCCGCACAGGAUACCAGGAACGGGCCUCAACGCAAGCAUUAAUUUUUCAAGAUAAGAAGGUUGACCCAACCUUAAUUGUGGUGGCUUUCAGAGGGACCAAACCCAUUUGAAGCAGAUGACUGGAGCACAGAUGUGGAUCUCUCGUGGUAUGACCUUAAAGGCAUCGGUAAGCUCCACCGUGGCUUCAUGAAAGCCCUAGGCCAACAAGAGAAUGGCUGGCCCAAAGAAAUUGAACAAGGCGGUGACCAUCUUUAUGCAUACUACGAAAUCAGACAAAUGCUCAGGGACAUAUUGCUCAAGAAUGAGAAGGCAAAAUUUAUAUUAUCAGGGCAUAGCUUGGGCGGGGCAUUGGCUAUACUGUUCGUGGAGUGUUAGCAUUACACGAGGAGGCUUGGUUGCUUGAGAGAUUGGAAGGGGUUACACGUUUGGGCAGCCCAGAGUAGGCGAUGGACAAUUUGGGGAAUUUAUGGUAGAUAAGUUGAAAGGUAUGAAGUAAGGUACAUGAGGCAUGUCUACAGUAAUGACAUAGUGCCUAGAUUGCCUAUGAUGACAUCUUCUUUUAUUCAGCAUUUCGGUCCCUCCAUCUACUUCAAUAGCUUCUACAAAGGAAAGGUCAGUCUUCUCUCGUCCUUUUAUUUUUGCUUGUAAAUUCCAACCCGAUGAUUCCUUUCUUUGACUCGAUUAUGUAUUAGCAGAACUCAAUAUUCAGUAAGAUUGUUGACAAGUCACUAACACAAUCAUGAAUGAUAAUUGUGAUUCGGGACACAGGUUAUGCAAGAAAGAGCCGAACAAGAACUACUUCUCUUUGUUGUUGAUAGUCCCGUACCUCAAUGCCUCUGGGAGCUUAUCAGAAGUUUUAUAAUCCUCUCCUCCAUGGCCAGGACUACAGAGAGAGUUGGUUUAUGACACUGCUAAGGCUCGCAGGAUUGAUAGUUCCAGGAAUACCAGAACAUAUUCUUCAAGAUUUGAUAAUUUCUACCUUGGGAUCCCUUCAACUCAAGGAUUCUCAGCAAGAACUUCACCAGGAGUAAGAACCGUUAAAUCAACACCGGCCGCAUAUAAUGAAACUGACCAAGUCAGCAUUGAUUACCAGUUCUUCUGCAAUUUGUUUAAUCUUCAAUGUUGUUUCUUAUUUUUUAAAAAAUCUGUUUAGAAUUUUUAUGGCUUAAAUAAUAAAGUAGCUAUUAAUUUCUAUUUUUAUGUAACUGUCUUGCUUAUAUAAAGCAACUCACUUAUGCAGAAUAAUUAUCAUCUUGUUUCCUGUUCUCCUACUUCUUUUAUUUUGUCCAACAGGAACAAUCAAUGAUCUCUUAACACUCUUGUGACAUACCAUUUGAAGAAACAAACAACUCUUAGUAGCAAUGGAUGGACUAUGUUACCAGGUGUGCUUAUCCUUACGUCCGAGAUAUGUAAUUUCCUCAAUAUUAUUGUUCAAUAAACAUGGAUACUAUGAGCAAUUAUGGUCCCUAAACGACCAUGCACCAGGGCAUUUGCCUUCUAUCGAACAUUUUAAAGUAGUAGUUUUUCUUGGGUCAUCCAACUACCCUGACGCCAAAUGAAGUCGCACGCGGUGGUUUCCUUGUCAUCAUUAAUUGUCGUCUUCUAUGAGCAAUUAUGUUGGAUGGCACAAUUCUACGACCUAAGUGAUGGUUUUAUAGCGUUGGUUGACCUUAAAUUUAGAUACAUCAUGCAACCAAUGGAUUGCCUUCUGAGUGUAAUCUUUCCUUUGUGCAAAAAUGGGGCAUUCUCUGACUAUCUGAGCUUAGGCUGAGCUUGGAUAAAUCCUCUUCUCGAAUAAUUUUUGUUUCUUUCGUACCAAAGGAGCCAUUUUUAUUUUUCUUUUCUUUUAUGUGGAAAAGCAUAUUUAGGAGAUUGUUGGGGAAAUGGUAAAUUUUUUAAAAAUAUAUAUAUAUAUCAAAAUAAUAUUUUUUUUAAUUUAUUUUUUAUAUUAAUUCGACACAAAAAAAAUUCAAAUCUUUUAAAAACAUGGUUAGACACCUUCUUAAAGAAAUGGAUCAAUAAUCAUCCAUGUGCAAAUCCACACGUAAUAACAGUUGAGAAUAAUUAGGAGGCUUAACCUAAUAGGUUAGCCCAACCCUUUCUAUAUAUAUGAGUAGGGCAAUAUACAAUAGUAAAGGUGGAGAUUACCACAUAAGAAUAUGACUACAAUAUUUCCUAUAUAAUUACAUUCUAUAAUACGCCCCCUCAAGCUGAGGGUGGAGGAUCAACCCGAAGCUUGAAUCUAAAAGCAGUAAAUGAAGCAGCAGGAAGUGGCUUAGUGAAGACAUCGGCAAGUUGAUCCUGAGAGGAAAUAAAACGAAUCUGAAUCUCCUUCUUCGCAACUCUAUCUCGGACAAAAUGAUAAUCAAUCUCAAUAUGUUUUGUGCGAGCAUGAAAUAUAGGGUUUGCGGACAAAUACGUGGCACCAAGGUUGUCACACCAGAUAAUAGGGGCAGAAGGAGUCGGAAUCUGAAGAUCCGUUAACAAGUACUGAAGCCAGAUAACUUCAGCCGUGCCAUCGGCUAAGGCUUUGUACUCAGCUUCCGUCGAAGAACGAGCAACAGUGCGUUGCUUACUCGAUUUCCACGAAAUUGGCGUCUGACCAAAGAACACAAGAUAACCACCUGUAGACUUUCUAUCCUCAAUACUACCUGCCCAAUCUGCAUCUGUAAAACCGUGUAAAGCAAAGGAAGAGCUGCGAGUAAUAUGUAAACCAUGUGAUGCGUACCACGGAGAUAACGCAAGAUGCGUUUCACGGCAGCCCAAUGGGAUUCUGUAGGAGCAUGCAUAAAUUGACAGACCCGGUUAACAGCAAAGCAAAUAUCCGGGCGUGUGAAAGUGAGAUAUUGGAGAGCACCAACAAGUUGCCGAAAACGAGUAGCAUCAGAAAACAAUGGAUCCGGCAUAAUGGUGGCUUUGGAUGCCGAAAUAGGAGUAUCAACUGGUUUACAGGAUAACAUACCAGCUCGUGUGAGGAUAUCAAGUGUAUAUUUAUGUUGACAAAGCAUAAGUCCCAGACCAGUACACUGCACUUCAAUACCCAAGAAAUAAUGAACAUCACCCAAAUCCCGAAGUUUAAAUUCUGAGCUCAGUAGCUGAAUGAUGUCGUUGUAGCAGAGUUCCAUUAUUACCCGUAAGCAGAAUAUCAUCAACAUAAACCAAAAGAUAACAAAUAUCACUACCAACCGAGAAGAUAAACAAUGAGGUAUCCACUUUAGAAGCACGGAAACCAAUGGAUAAUAGAAAAUCAUUCAGACGAGUGUACCAAGCCCGCGGAGCCUGUUUUAACCCAUAUAGAGAUUUAUGCAAUCGACAUACAUGACCUGGGAGUGCAGAAUCAACAAAACCUGGAGGUUGUUUCAUGUAAACCUCUUCAUCAAGGACUCCAUUUAGAAAUGCAUUAUGAAUGUCAAGCUGAUGAAUUUUCCAACCACUCGAAACUGCAAUGGAGAACACUAAGCGGACUGUUGCCUGUUUGAUAACAGGACUAAAAGUUUCUGAGUAAUCAAUACCUUCUUGCUGAGUGAAGCCCCUAGCAACCAGGCGCGCCUUAUACCUCUCAAUGCUACCAUCAGAUCUGCGUUUAAUUUUGUAGACCCAUCGGCUACCAACAACAUUCAUGGACGGAUGAAAUGGCACUAAAGUCCAUGUUCUGUUUGCGCGUAAGGCCUGAAUUUCCUCUCGCAUAGCAUUAUGCCACGCCUCAUAUCUGUUAGCAUCAGGAAAAAUAAGUGGCUCAUGCGAGGGAGGAGAAGUUACCCGACUGAAGGAAGCAGCAGAGGUGGCUGCCGUGGUGGUGAUCAGCGCUGUCUUGGGCUGUCUCGGACGAAGAACCAUGGGGUGUUUAGGAGCAGCUGGACAUGGAGUAGCAGCACCUGUACCUGGAAUGUGCUGAAGAGGAUAAGAGGAGAGAUCAACACAAAGUUGCAGACCAGGAGGUGAAGCCGGGGAGGUGCUGGGUUGUGCCGCUACUGAAUCCUGCAAGUCAGAACCUGUUCCUGCACAAUAAUCAUUGGAAAGACAAGCACGUGGUGAUAGUAUGGCUGUGUGGGGUGGUGAGGCAGGGUCGGCUGAAUCAACGGGCAGGGGAGCAAGCUGGGGGGUUGCGGCAAGGGGCAAAGGUGGGUUGUGUGUUUUGCCGAGUUGGGAAGGAAGAGGCUGAAAACAGGAAGGGGGUUGCAGUGAUGGAAGAUAGGUAGGUGGAGUGGGGGGAACCGAGGGUGUUGUUACCUGUUCAGACUUUUUAAAAGGAAAGACACAUUCAUGAAAACGAACAUGACGGGAGACAUAGACACGACCAGACUCUAAAUCAAGACACCGAUAACCAAGAUGAGACGAGCUAUAGCCUAAAAACACACAAGGAGAAGACCGAAAAUCUAAUUUAUGAGCAUGAUAUGGACGUAAAAAUGGAAAACAAAGACACCCAAAAGUGCGUAGAAAGUUAUAAUCAGGAGUGCGAUGAAACAGACACGCAAAAGGAGAUUUAUUUUGAAGAACAAGAGUAGGCAUGCGAUUAAUAAGAUAGACCGAUGAUUCCAUAGCAUAGUUCCAAAAACUCAAUGGGGCAUUACACUGGCAGUUUCGACAAUAUGUCUAUGACGACGUUCAACUGUGCCAUUUUGUUCAUGAGUAUGAGGACAAAUUAAUCGAUGAUGAAUACCAAUUGUUUGAAAAUAUUUAUUUAAUUUACGAUAUUCACCACCCCAAUCAGUUUGAACAGAUUUAAUUUUAAGAGAAAACUGACGCUCAACAAGUGUCUGAAAACGUUGAAACGUGGAAAAUACAUCAGAUUUCGCAACAAGCGGAUAAUACCAGAUAUAUUUAGUAUGUGCAUCAACAAAGAUAACAAAAUAACGAAAACCAUCAGAAGAAAACAUUGGAGCAGGGCCCCAAACAUCACUAAAAAUUAAUUCAAGUGGGGUAGAAGUUUUGUGACCCGUCGGUCGUAAUGACAAACGGGAUGACUUGCCUAAUGGACAUGCUUGACAUUGAGUAAAAGAUCGUUUAGACGUACAAAUAAUUUUAUUAUCAGAAACUAACAAAUUUAGAAUGCGAGGAGUUGGAUGACCUAAACGACGAUGCCACAAGUCGGCAGUCGCGGAAAUGCAAGGAGACCAAAAAGCUUGAGGAACUGACGUAGCCGAGGACUCGGAGAGAACAUAAAGACCAUCAUGACUCCGACCGGAAAGAAGAACUUCCUUGGUGACGAGAUCCUUCACAUAAAACACAGAAUCGUGAAAUUCAAAAUAAACAUGAUUAUCACGACAGAAUUUCUGAACAGAUAACAACGGUUUGGUAAUGUGAGGCACACGAAGAACAUUAGUUAAUGUAAACAAGCGUUUGGGGGAAUAUAAAGUAGUAUGUCCAACAUGGGAUAUGUCAAGGGCCUUACCAUCACCAACAUGCAAGAAAUCAUUACCAAGAUAAGGAGCAGAAUCAGUUAGAGUUGCAAGAUCAGGCGUCACAUGUUGAUUCGCGCCGGUGUCGGGAAACCAAGUCGUUGCAGCAGAAUCAUUCGCAACAGCAAGGUGAGCAGAGGGCUGCUGUGUGCUGCGCGAAACUGAUAGCAUUGAAGAGCUGAAUGGCCAGGAGUGGAACAUAAUUGGCAGCGACAUGUCCAGACCACUGCCCCUGAUUUGGCCGAAAUCUGCAGCAGAGGUGCGCCUGUUCUGCCACUGAUUUUGCCUCCAAUCUGCAGCGGAGUGACCUCUGUUUGGGGCCUGAAAUCGGUUGGUGUUUGAGCGUCAAUUACCUCUAGAACGUCCCCUGUUUUGGCUGUGAUUAGUCAUGGCAUAAUAAGCAGAAUUCGGAGGUGUUGGCAGCAAUGGUGGCUGCUACGGCAGAGAAGAAGAAGACA
RNAcentral lists this long non-coding RNA (10904 nucleotides) under Populus tremula. Its description in RNAcentral is "long non-coding RNA (PTRE_LNC000899)". The record is from RNAcentral. Lineage: Eukaryota; Viridiplantae; Streptophyta; Magnoliopsida; Malpighiales; Salicaceae.